GAUGAACGCUGGCGGCGUGCUUAACACAUGCAAGUCGAACGGAAAGGCCCAAGCUUGCUUGGGUACUCGAGUGGCGAACGGGUGAGUAAAACGUGGGUGAUCUGCCCUUCACUUCGGGAUAUGCCUGGGAAAAUGGGUCUAAUACCGGAGAGGACCACAUUUUGGGUGGUGUGGUGGAAAGUAUUUCGGUGUGGGGUGAGCUUGCGGCCUAUCAGCUUGUUGGUGGGGUAAUGGGCUACCAAGGCGGCGACGGGGAGCCGGCCUGUGAGGGUGUACGGCCACAGUGAGACUGAGAGACGGCCCAGACACCGACGGGAGGCAGCAGGGGGGAAGAUUGCACAAUGGGCGCAAGCCGGAUGCUGCGACGCCGCGGGGGGGAUGACGGCCUUCGGGUUGUAAACUACUUUCGCUAGGGACGAAGCGUUACGUGACGGUACCUGGAGAAGAAGCACCGGCUAACUACGUG
This 466-nucleotide ribosomal RNA is filed under the name uncultured bacterium. RNAcentral describes it as "partial 16S ribosomal RNA". It matches the Rfam family "Bacterial small subunit ribosomal RNA", at positions 28 to 507 of the family's 1533-position model. The record is from RNAcentral.